RNAcentral lists this long non-coding RNA (513 nucleotides) under Androctonus crassicauda. Lineage: Eukaryota; Metazoa; Arthropoda; Arachnida; Scorpiones; Buthidae. The record is from RNAcentral.
GACUUACUCUUUUGGAGUGAUACAUUGGACACAGACAGAACUAGAAAGAAAAACAUGAGCAACACUUACAAAAUACCAAUACCUCACUUGAAAUCUGCCAUAGAAAGAACUACUCUCCCACACAAGGAAGGAGGACAUGGCCUUCCUUGCGUGGACAUUCCACAUUUGCACGGUAUAGCCUGGGGGACUACAGUAGACCCUUCAACAGCAGGUUCUCCACUGGUUUCGGUAGGUCUAUAUCUCCAACUAUUACAGCAACGUCUUCUACAUUUAGCUUCGGUGUGUUUGGAUGAACAUGUUGUUUAAAGAGGAUCCAUUUGAGCUUUUUAAUAUAUCUACGGCCUACUGUAAUCCCCCAGGCUAUACUGUGCAUAUCUGACAUGGCACCACACGUUGACCAGCUACUGUCUGAACAUUCCACAUUUACACGACAGACAUAUUUAUUGUUUGAAAGAGUUCUUCCAUAAAAAACAACAUACAUCACAACUACACAAAGCUAUAGUCCUGGCAAAU